Long non-coding RNA from Amphiprion ocellaris (clown anemonefish), 1314 nucleotides. RefSeq lists it as uncharacterized. The transcript has 2 exons. NCBI's taxonomy places the organism in Eukaryota, Metazoa, Chordata, Actinopteri, Pomacentridae. The record is from RefSeq and is a predicted model, not a curated record.
AUACAUGCAAAUCUGCAAUGAUGAAGAAUGAUGAAUAUAGAUAUGCCACCAGAACAGUAAAAUUUAAUCUAAUUCACUGUUAGGACAGUGGAGUAGAAAAUGAAAAACUGAUGCAGUGCUUUCGAAGUAUUGCUGUUUCUAUGGAACAAUUAUGGUGCUAUUCAUCGUCCAUGAAUAUCAUUUUUAGUCAUCAUCCAUUCACUCAGUGAAUGAAUAAAUGACAGGUUGUCUGUGUGUGUUUGUGCAGGUUGAGCUCAGUGUGGAGAAAAGCUCUUUUCAUCUGCUGGUUGAUGGGAUCAGAGUGACUGACGGUAACUUAUCCAAUGACGAAGGUUCAGCUUUAGACCUGCUCAACCCCGUUUAUCUGGGAGGUGAUCCAACAAGCAGAGCCACUAAAGGACACAAUAUUCCCAUGAAGAGUCUAAUCAGCUGUGUUCGGGAUUUCAGAAUGAAUGAUGUGGUUGUCGGUGAACCUGAGGCCAGUAACAAAAUCUUACCCUGCUAAUAAAAUGCUUCGAAUGAGUCAUUAGUUGUAAAGAAAAAAAAAAAAAAAAAAAAAAAAGCAAUUAUAGCCUCAUUUGUAAAAUCCUAGAAAUGUAACUAUGAAUGAGAGAAUCUCCGCGUCUGAUUUUUUUGCUUUCCCUGAGAAUCAUUCACAUUUUGGCAGACGUGGUUGUUGUAAAUGUGUAGUAGAUGACUAUAAAUGGAUAGCUUGCUAUAUUGCUGUUGCUAUAAAUUGAGGGUAAAUCACUAUAUAUCAGUAAUAGAUGACUAUAAAUUAGUAAUGCAUUAAAUGUUUUUUACUCAGUAAUUAAUUAAUUUUGAGUACUAUAAAUAUGUAAUUAAUUCAAUUUCUGUAAAUGACUAAGAGAUAGCUACUAUUAUGUAAUUCAUUACUAUUAAUGCAUGAUAAAUUACUAUAUAUCAGUUAUAGAUCACUUUACAUAAAUAAUAAAAUACUGUAAUCGUGCUAUGUAUCACUACAAAGGAGUAACAGAGAGACUAAAUGUGUACAAGGCUAAUUUAGAUGAGUUAUGGAUUACUCUAAAAGUAUAAUAAAACAUUAAAUAUUUUAAUUCAGUAAAUUCAUCAAAAAAUAUGGUAGACAACUUAACAUGAGUAAUAGAUUACUUUGGAAGUAACAGAUAAAUGAGCAUUUCAUUAAUCAGCUAUACUCACUUUAUCCUGCAGAGGGUUGUGCUGGGCUGAAGUUUAUCCAGUUGACUCCGGAAGAGAAGCAAGUUACACCCUGGACAGGUCGAAAUGAGAAAUAUAAUACAAUUAAAAAGUGAUAAAUUAUCUUUUAAAAAGUAA